Zonotrichia leucophrys gambelii is the source of this 1495-nucleotide long non-coding RNA. RefSeq lists it as uncharacterized. The transcript has 4 exons. Lineage: Eukaryota; Metazoa; Chordata; Aves; Passeriformes; Passerellidae. The record is from RefSeq and is a predicted model, not a curated record.
GGUCAAUGCUGCAGCCUGCUGGAGUGGAAUGGUGUUACUGUGUGUGGGGAGAUGCCUGAAGCCUUCUGAUGAGGUCCAGAUUUUAAUUUCCAGCGAGAGUGGGAAGAAGAAGAGGAGAACAGAGUUCAUUCAUUUCAGAAGAGUCAGUAGUUAAGACAUCCAUCUGCUGUGAGAAGCCAGAUUCAUAUGCCUGUUCUGCCAUUUUCAUCUUCAUGUGAGCUGUUAGAACGGAGGUCUUAGUGCAGCCUGACCUGUCUAAGCUGGAAAUUCAUAACCAUUACUCAGCUGUGAUCUUGGUACCACAAAUACACCUUCUGGCAUGCAGGUGCACUUGGAAAAGCACAUUUUGUUCAACUAGCAAGUGUUGGCAACUCCUGAACAAAGCCUGGUCAAACCUUAACUUUGCCCUCAGAAGAUCUGGAAAACAGCUUUCUUUGACUAUUUAGUCCUGCUCAAGAUUCAUGGAGACAGAUUAAUUUUGUGUUCUGUACAUUUAUUGGCACAGAAUUUUAAACUGAUGAGGCAGUUGUUACAGAAUUGGGAUUUCAGGUACCAACAUGGCUGUCAGAGCAUAUAAAGGCAGUUCAAAGCAAGCACUGGAUCCCUCUCAAAUCGACAUUGAGAUGGUCUUGUUUCUUCAUCACACCUAAAAAGCAGCACUGCAAAUGUACUGCAAAUCAAGUACAUUAGUUUGUACCCCCACGUGCCUGCCAGAAACUUUCAAAAGCUGUAAAAAUUAAUUUGAUUUUUUGUUCAAAGAAAUAAUUAGAUCCAUGUCCAUUCUAAGAAGACACAGUUUUUAUAACAGUAUUCCUGUGUAAAUUCACAAUAACCCCCAGGCCCACAUUGGAAAACUUUUCACUUGAGGUUAUUUAAUUUUUUAAGGGAAAAGGUGUAUAUUGCAGAUGUUCAUGGGUCUGAUAAUUUCUCUCACAGAACACCUGACUUGCAUGCUUUUGUUAGAAAUGGCCAAAAGCAAAUUAAACUUAAGAAGGUUUAUAUUGUGCACAUACAUUGGAUUUUAUAAUCACCCCCCAAAUGCUUCUAUUUCUUUCAGUAGGAGAAAACAUGCUUUGGCUGCUUCUGUCACCUGGCUGAAGAAUAAAAAAAAAAAAAAAUUAAAAAAAUAAAUAAAAAAAAAGUUACUGUGUGCAGUUAAUAUCGAACAGCAGCCAUCUCCAGAUGAUCCCUGCUGCAUCCAAUUUCUGCCAAAAUGCUUUCUGUUAAACCUCCAUCAAACAGACACACGGCGCACAAAAGAAAACCUCAUCACCAAGGGAAACUAAUCCACCGGUGCGCAAUGUAAGCCUGUCAACUUUUUAUUAUAAGAAGUCAUCACUCAUUUCAGUGAAGAUUAAAAGUAUGACUAAAUUGAGAAAAUCCUCUUAGCCAUUCGGAAUUUUAAUAGAGGAGAAAAGGGGGUGAGUAAAAUUUAAACUGUAUGUGCGUGUGUGCCUAUAUAUCUAUCUAUAUGUGUGUGUAUGAAUCAAAUAUA